UGAGCGUGGUGACUUGAAGUCUCAAACAAUGAUGGUUCACACAUAAAAACCCUUCUUUAGAGAAGGAGACUUGAGCCUGAAUCCAAUUUUCUCAUCAGAGGAAGCAUCCUUUUUGGAGUAUUUCAAUGCCUGAGUCCUUAUUCUUGAAGGGAAGAAGCACACCAACAAUAGUGAAAGUACACAUUCCUUCUCGGUGGAGGACACUGCCUCAAAUCUUUCACAGACAAAGUUGAAGAAUCUAGAAUUGGUGUGGGACAAUGUGCCUGGCUCCAUUUCCCAAGACCCCCUACAGAUUGGAAACAGUCUCAAAAAAGUAUGCACUGAGAUCCACUGCCUGUUCCAUAACCAUUGGCAGGGAAGCUUAAAGGAGCCAUUAUGUUGCUGUGGAGAGCCAAGGACUAAAAGUCACGAGACCUAGGUCUUUGCCCAGGUGGUAUAAUGACCUUGUUUUUCAAGCUACGGGUUGUAGGAUGUUAAAGAAAAAUUACACUGAAUUGAGUUAAACAGAUUUAAUGCAGUCCAUUGCCAUAUGACCCUGCAAUCCCACUCCUGGGCAUAUAUCUGAAGAAAAACACGAUCUGAAAGGAUACAUGCACGCCAAUGUUCAUUGCAGCACUCUUUACAAUAGACAAGACAUGGAAGCAACCUAAAUGUCCAUCGACAGAGGAAUGG
Molecule: long non-coding RNA, 672 nt
Organism: Physeter macrocephalus (sperm whale)
Lineage: Eukaryota; Metazoa; Chordata; Mammalia; Artiodactyla; Physeteridae
Exons: 5
Source: RefSeq, a predicted model, not a curated record